Long non-coding RNA from Bactrocera latifrons, 886 nucleotides. RefSeq lists it as uncharacterized. The transcript is spliced from 3 exons. The record is from RefSeq and is a predicted model, not a curated record. Lineage: Eukaryota; Metazoa; Arthropoda; Insecta; Diptera; Tephritidae.
UGGUUUUUGUUCUUCAUUAAAAACGCGUUAAUUUUAAAUUGUUCAAGCAAUAAGAACUAGUUAGCCCUGACUUUGUCUCCACUUUGCAGAAAUUCUUUAUUAUAAGAAUUAAUUUUUAGUAAUUUUUUUAUUGUGUGCGCUUUUCAAUGUUAUUUUUUGUUGUGGCUCAAGUUAGUUGAUUAUUGCGUAUGGUAAUUAAAUUCAAGUAAUUAAAAAUAUGGAAUGACAAGCACAUAAUAAUGAAUGAAGAAAGAAGAAGAAGCAGCAGUAGACACCAAGUAACACCAUAAGAUGUCAAUAAUCAUAUAAUGGUGCAAAUUUUUGAUAUUCCUCGCAGAAAUAAACGAAAAUUUAAUAAAAUUUAGAAGACACAAGUUAGAAAAAAUCCAAAUAAAAAAGCUAAGGAGGAACAACCGAUAAGCUUGAAGGCAACAUUCUAAGCACACACAAGAACAGCCACAGCCGGCAUUUUUUUCGUUGUUUCGCACCUGCGCACACAACCGCCUUUACUUCAACAAAAAAACCAUCGCUUGUUGUUCUUGUGCAGUUGAGACAAGUGCGUAGUGGGGAUGCGGCUGAUCUGCUGUCGUUUGUGCUGUGAUUGCUUCACGUGUUGUUGUAAUUGUUGGGUGAUUACUUUCCGAGCAAAAGAAGGAAGUAUGGCAUACUACAUCUCAAACUACCAUAAUAUCCAUAACGCAAUUUCGUAGCUGUGUCUCUGGUUUCUCAAUUUAAGUCGAUGUACUCAUCUAUAAAAAGUGGCGACAUUUCACUCCUAAAACGUCAUUCUAUGGAGGUAAAUGGAGAAAAUGUCAACUGAGUGAUUAUCUGUGAAUGAAUAUUUUAAAAAUUACCAUCUUUCGACUAUAUUAAACUCACCUUCAAC